This is a long non-coding RNA of Cyprinus carpio (common carp), 138 nucleotides long. RefSeq lists it as uncharacterized. The record is from RefSeq and is a predicted model, not a curated record. NCBI's taxonomy places the organism in Eukaryota, Metazoa, Chordata, Actinopteri, Cypriniformes, Cyprinidae. The transcript has 2 exons.
UCUCAUACAGGGGAGAUCAUUUACUCUGAUCCAACAUUCUACAAAAGUCGUGGAGGACGAAAGCCACAAAACAGUCAUGGGACAAAGAGAGUUAAAGAGGAGAAUGAUGUGGUGUAUGCUGGAGUUGCUGUGAGAUGA